Molecule: ribosomal RNA, 433 nt
Filed under: uncultured bacterium
Lineage: Bacteria
Description: partial 16S ribosomal RNA
Rfam family: Bacterial small subunit ribosomal RNA
Source: RNAcentral
AACGAACGCUGGCGGCAGGCCUAACACAUGCAAGUCGAGCGAGGACUUCGGUUCUAGCGGCGGACGGGGGAGUAACGCGUGGGAAUGUUCCCUUCUCUACGGAAUAGCCCUGGGAAACUGGGAGUAAUACCGUAUACGCCCUAUUGGGGAAAGAUUUAUCGGAGAAGGAUCAGCCCGCGUGGGAUUAGGUAGUUGGUGGGGUAAUGGCCUACCAAGCCGACGAUCCAUAGCUGGUUUGAGAGGAUGGUCAGCCACACUGGGACUGAGACACGGCCCAGACUCCUACGGGAGGCAGCAGUGGGGAAUCUUAGACAAUGGGGGCAAUCCUGAUCUAGCCAUGCCGCGUGAGUGAUGAAGGCAUUAGGGUUGUAAAGCUCUUUCAGCUGGGAAGAUAAUGACGGUACCAACAGAAGAAGCCCCGGCUAACUCCGUG